This 491-nucleotide ribosomal RNA is filed under the name uncultured Pelagibius sp. RNAcentral's name for it is "bacterial SSU rRNA". It matches the Rfam family "Bacterial small subunit ribosomal RNA", at positions 406 to 915 of the family's 1533-position model. The record is from RNAcentral. Lineage: Bacteria; Pseudomonadati; Pseudomonadota; Alphaproteobacteria; Rhodospirillales; Rhodovibrionaceae.
UGAUGAUGGCCUUAGGGUCGUAAAGCUCUUUCGGCAGAGAUGAUAAUGACAGUAUCUGGUAAAGAAACCCCGGCUAACUCCGUGCCAGCAGCCGCGGUAAUACGGAGGGGGUUAGCGUUGUUCGGAAUUACUGGGCGUAAAGCGUACGUAGGCGGAUCAGAAAGUAUGGGGUGAAAUCCCGAGGCUCAACCUCGGAACUGCCUCCUAAACUCCUGGUCUUGAGUUCGAGAGAGGUGAGUGGAAUUCCAGUGUAGAGGUGAAAUUCGUAGAUAUUYGGAGGAACACCAGUGGCGAAGGCGGCUCACUGGCUCGAUACUGACGCUGAGGUACGAAAGUGUGGGGAGCAAACAGGAUUAGAUACCCUGGUAGUCCACACCGUAAACGAUGAAUGCCAGUCGUCGGGUAGCAUGCUGUUCGGUGACACACCUAACGGAUUAAGCAUUCCGCCUGGGGAGUACGGUCGCAAGAUUAAAACUCAAAGGGAAUUGACG